UGGUAGAUGGGCUAGAAGAGCAUGACAUAUACUGUUGUGUCGAUAUUUUCUCCUCGGACCUUGAAAAUUUAUGGUGGGGACACGCAAACUUCUCAACAGGCCGUACCAAUAUCCGCAGCUGGUCUCCAAGGUGAAGAGUCUCUAGUCGAUAGAAUAAUGUAGGUAAGGGAAGUCGGCAAAUUAGAUCCGUAACUUCGGGAUAAGGAUUGGCUCUGAAGAUUGAGAUAGUCGGGCUUGAUUGGGAAACAAUAACAUGGUUUAUGUGCUCGUUCUGGGUAAAUAGAGUUUCUAGCAUUUAUGUUAGUUACUUGUUCCCCGGAUAGUUUAGUUACGUAGCCAAUUGUGGAACUUUCUUGCUAAAAUUUUUAAGAAUACUAUUUGGGUUAAACCAAUUAGUUCUUAUCAAUUAUAACGAUUAUCAAUUAACAAUCAAUUCAGAACUGGCACGGACUUGGGGAAUCCGACUGUCUAAUUAAAACAAAGCAUUGUGAUGGCCCUAGCGGGUGUUGACACAAUGUGAUUUCUGCCCAGUGCUCUGAAUGUCAAAGUGAAGAAAUUCAAGUAAGCGCGGGUCAACGGCGGGAGUAACUAUGACUCUCUUAAGGUACAGAAUACGUACGAGGGUGGCGGUACCAGUCUCAAUGGGGACGGUUGGAGUUCAGAGGAAUUCGUCCCUGCUAGAGGAGUGAAGCAGGGUGACCCUUUGUCUCCUAUUCUAUUUAACUUGGUAAUGGACAGGUUACUUAGAAACCUACCCAGCGAAAUUGGUGCCAGAGUCGGAAAUGCCAUUACUAACGCGGCCGCGUUUGCAGAUGAUUUGGUACUAUUUGCUGAAACUCGAAUGGGACUUCAAGUAUUGUUGGACAGAACGUUG
Molecule: non-coding RNA, 874 nt
Filed under: Drosophila sechellia
Lineage: Eukaryota; Metazoa; Arthropoda; Insecta; Diptera; Drosophilidae
Description: Eukaryotic large subunit ribosomal RNA
Rfam family: Eukaryotic large subunit ribosomal RNA
Source: Rfam by way of RNAcentral